GUGCAAAGAGUGGAAACCGUAUGUUCCCAGCGGGUGGCAAUAUGAACACAUGAAUAUGGCCUAAACAUUUGUUUUGUUUACUGGAUAGUAAAGAGGUACAGAGGAAAGAUGGAGGAGAGGGUGCUGAAAUAGCAGUGGGACAGAUUGGAGGAGAGGGUGCUGAAAUAGCAGUGGGACAGAUUGGAGGAGAGGGUGCUGAAAUAGCAGUGGGACAGAUUGGAGGAGAGGGUGCUGAAAUGGCAGUGGGACAGAUUGGAGCAGAGGGUGCUGAAAUAGCAGUGGGACAGAUUGGAGGAGAGGGUGCUGAAAUAGCAGUGGGACGGAUUGGAGGAGAGGUAGCUGAAAUAGCAGUGGG
This is a long non-coding RNA of Oncorhynchus tshawytscha (Chinook salmon), 355 nucleotides long. Lineage: Eukaryota; Metazoa; Chordata; Actinopteri; Salmoniformes; Salmonidae. The record is from Ensembl.